This 377-nucleotide ribosomal RNA is filed under the name uncultured eukaryote. RNAcentral describes it as "partial 18S ribosomal RNA". It matches the Rfam family "Eukaryotic small subunit ribosomal RNA", at positions 592 to 976 of the family's 1831-position model. The record is from RNAcentral.
CAAUAGCGUAUAUUUAAGUUGCUGCAGUUAAAAAGCUCGUAGUUGGAUUUCGGGUGGGAAUGGCCGGUCCGCCGUUUCGGUGUGCACUUGCUACGCCCACCUUGCUGCCGGGGACGUGCUCUUGAGUUCACGCUCGGGACACGGAGUCGGCGAGGUUACUUUGAGUAAAUUAGAGUGUUCAAAGCAGGCCUACGCUCUGAAUACAUUAGCAUGGAAUAACACGAUAGGACUCUGGCCUAUCUUGUUGGUCUGUAGGACCGGAGUAAUGAUUAAGAGGGACAGACGGGGGCAUUCGUACUCCGACGUUAGAGGUGAAAUUCUUGGAUCGUCGGAUGACGCACUACUGCGAAAGCAUUUGCCAAGAAUGUUUUCAUUAA